RNAcentral lists this ribosomal RNA (371 nucleotides) under uncultured organism. RNAcentral describes it as "bacterial SSU rRNA". It matches the Rfam family "Bacterial small subunit ribosomal RNA", at positions 526 to 896 of the family's 1533-position model. The record is from RNAcentral.
CAGAGGGUGCAAGCGUUAAUCGGAAUUACUGGGCGUAAAGCGAGCGUAGUCGGUUAUUUAAGUCGGGUGUGAAAGCCCCGGGCUCAACCUGGGAAUUGCAUUCGAUACUGGAUAGCUAGAGUUCGGCAGAGGGAAGCGGAAUUUCCGGUGUAGCGGUGAAAUGCGUAGAUAUCGGAAGGAACAUCAGUGGCGAAAGCGGCUUCCUGGACCAGAACUGACGAUCAGGCUCGAAAGCGUGGGGAGCAAACAGGAUUAGAUACCCUGGUAGUCCACGCCAUAAACGAUGACAACUAGACGUUGGGCGGGUAAGCCGCACAGUGUCGCAGCUAACGCGUUAAGUUGUCCGCCUGGGGAGUACGGCCGCAAGGUUG